CACAUGCAAGUAUCAGCGACCCAGUGAAGACGCCCUUCCACCUCCCAAGGAUAAGGAGCCGGCAUCAGGCACAGAAUCCUUGCCCACAACGCCUAGUCUUACCACACCUCCAAAGGUAGUCAGCAGUGAUAAAAAUUGUUCAUAAGCGUAAGCUUGAAUCAGCCAGGGGAAAGAGGGCCGGCCAACCCGGUGCCAGCCGCCGCGGCUACACCGGGGGCCCAAAUUGAAAACAAACGGCGUUAAGCGUGAUUAGAGAAAAAAGACAAUUAGAAUUAAAUUUAAGCUUAGCUGUGAUAAGCUUGCUCCUCAGAAACCCAAAAACGAAAGUUAUUCUAAUUUAGUAUUCUUGAACACACGACAGCUUGGAAACAAACUGGGAUUAGUAGAUACCCCACUAU
This 398-nucleotide ribosomal RNA is filed under the name Rhacophorus reinwardtii (Reinwardt's flying frog). RNAcentral's name for it is "partial 12S ribosomal RNA". It matches the Rfam family "Bacterial small subunit ribosomal RNA", at positions 52 to 793 of the family's 1533-position model. Lineage: Eukaryota; Metazoa; Chordata; Amphibia; Anura; Rhacophoridae. The record is from RNAcentral.